This 73-nucleotide transfer RNA is filed under the name Paramuricea clavata. It matches the Rfam family "tRNA". From Rfam's summary of the family: Transfer RNA (tRNA) molecules are approximately 80 nucleotides in length. Their secondary structure includes four short double-helical elements and three loops (D, anti-codon, and T loops). Lineage: Eukaryota; Metazoa; Cnidaria; Anthozoa; Malacalcyonacea; Plexauridae. The record is from Rfam by way of RNAcentral.
CACCGCGUAGCUCAGUUGGAAGAGCAUUGGGCUAGUAUUCCAAAGGUCGUAGGUUCGAAUCCCACCGCGGCCG